This 253-nucleotide ribosomal RNA is filed under the name uncultured bacterium. Its description in RNAcentral is "partial 16S ribosomal RNA". It matches the Rfam family "Bacterial small subunit ribosomal RNA", at positions 524 to 776 of the family's 1533-position model. The record is from RNAcentral.
UACGUAGGUGGCAAGCGAUACUCGGAAUCACUAGGCGUAAAGCGCAGGUAGGCGGAUCUUUAAGUCAGUGGUGAAAUCCUGCAGCUUAACUGUAGAACAGCCAUUGAAACUGAGGAUCUUGAAUUUGGUUAAAGUAGGCGGAAUGUAUCAUGUAGCGGUGAAAUGCUUAGAUAUGAUACAGAACACCGAUAGCGAAGGCAGCUUGCUGAACCAAUAUUGACGCUGAGGCACGAAAGCGUGGGGAGCGAACAGG